GAUGAAGAACGUAGCGAAAUGCGAUAAGUAAUGCGAAUUGCAGAAUCCGUGAGUCAUCGAAUCUUUGAACGCAUAUUGCGCCCUUUGGUAUUCCGAAGGGCAUGCCUGUUCGAGCGUCAUUAUCACCCCUCAAGCCCCGGCUUGGUGUUGGACUUAGUUACGGAUCACCAUAACUGGCCUCAAAGAUAGUGGCGGCGCCCCAGAGGGAACCGGUACGAGGAGCUUCCAGUUAAGCAUGUACGCGGGACGACUUUGCGUGCGACGGGUCUUUUUCAUUUCUCAAGUGUUGACCUCGGGUCAGGUAGGAAUACCCGCUGAACUUAAGCAUAUCAAUAAGCGGAGGA
This 344-nucleotide unclassified non-coding RNA is filed under the name soil metagenome. RNAcentral describes it as "partial contains 5.8S ribosomal RNA, internal transcribed spacer 2, and large subunit ribosomal RNA". The stretch from base 1 to 119 matches the Rfam family "5.8S ribosomal RNA", at positions 35 to 154 of the family's 154-position model. The record is from RNAcentral.